This is a long non-coding RNA of Elgaria multicarinata webbii, 862 nucleotides long. RefSeq lists it as uncharacterized. The record is from RefSeq and is a predicted model, not a curated record. The transcript is spliced from 2 exons. Lineage: Eukaryota; Metazoa; Chordata; Lepidosauria; Squamata; Anguidae.
AGAGGCCUCAGAAAAAAAUCUCUCCCAGGCCUGCUUCUGAAACUCCAGCCUCUUGCUAUUUGAAGUGUUGGUAUCAGUUAUUUUGUAGAUCAGUGUCCACAUCUCCCUUUGCAGAUUUGACGGGAAGGCGAAAGGUUAGCUGGGCAUAGAGCCCGUCUUCUCCCUCCAUUUUUUUUCGUCCUUGAGGUGACCAUUGGCAUGACAGACAGCAACCUGGCAGUCUAUGCACAGAUGAAAUUUAAGUUGCCGUAUUUUUCCCAUCCUGUUUGUGGAGAAAUAAGCGAACUGCUUCUACCUAGGACUAGGGAACAAUUUCCAAUUUCAAGGCAGUGGCAUCAAAUUGUUUUAGGUGGGCUGAUAUUUUUUUCUGUCCCGGGCCAAUGCUGGAGUCAUGAAAACUGGGCAUGUUAUAAAAAUGUUGCUCUUGAUGGGUGGUAGUGAUGGACAGAGUUUGGGUUUCCAUGAUGCUGAAUUUUGUUUGCCGACAAAUGAACACACUAUUGCGAAGAAGCCUAUAAUAGCCACCUUGCCCCCCCCCCCCCCCGGUAUCUGUGUUAAUUAAGGAUGCCGCAUUGAUGGCCAAAAAAGAACUUUUAUUAGCUUCAUUGCCUGGAGGAGAUUUUGACUCGCUAUAGCUGAGUAGCAAAUGGAUUGUCACUGCCUCCACCUCUUCCUGCCUGGCCAACUGCAGAGCACGCAUGCAGUCGCUCUGACUCUGAGAUUAAUAGGGAGUCCUUGAUGAGAUCUCAGAAAACCUUCCAAGGCACCAUCAUAUGGUCUCUGGUUUUUCCUUACUAGCCUUAUCGGUCCCCCUGGUUAAAAGAAACCUAUGUAUAAGUUUGUACAUAAAAUUUCUGAACAA